CCUACGGGCGGCAGCAGUGAGGAAUAUUGGUCAAUGGACGAGAGUCUGAACCAGCCAAGUCGCGUGAAGGAUGACUGCCCUAUGGGUUGUAAACUUCUUUUAUAUGGGAAUAAAAUGUUCCACGUGUGGGUUUUUGUAUUUACCAUAUGAAUAAGGUUCGGCUAACUCCGUGCCAGCAGCCGCGGUAAUACGGAGGGUCCGAGCGUUAUCCGGAUUUACUGGGUUUAAAGGGAGCGUAGGUGGAUUGUUAAGUCAGUUGUGAAAGGUUGCGGCUCAACCUUAGAAUUGCAGUUGAAACUGGCAGUCUUGAGUACGGUAGAGGUGGGCGGAAUUCGUGGUGUAGCGGUGAAAUGCUUAGAUAUCACGAAGAACUCCGAUUGCGAAGGCAGCUCACUGGACUGCAACUGACGCUGAGGCACGAAAGUGUGGGUAUCAAACAGGAUUAGAUACCCGAGUAGUC
This 460-nucleotide ribosomal RNA is filed under the name uncultured bacterium. RNAcentral describes it as "partial 16S ribosomal RNA". It matches the Rfam family "Bacterial small subunit ribosomal RNA", at positions 338 to 795 of the family's 1533-position model. The record is from RNAcentral.